GCGGGUGUGGCGGAAUUGGUAGACGCGCCAGAUUUAGGUUCUGGUGACCUACGGUCGUGGGGGUUCGAGUCCCUUCACCCGCACCA
This 86-nucleotide transfer RNA is filed under the name Alphaproteobacteria bacterium. Its description in RNAcentral is "tRNA-Leu". It matches the Rfam family "tRNA". Rfam says of the family: Transfer RNA (tRNA) molecules are approximately 80 nucleotides in length. Their secondary structure includes four short double-helical elements and three loops (D, anti-codon, and T loops). The record is from RNAcentral. Lineage: Bacteria; Pseudomonadati; Pseudomonadota; Alphaproteobacteria.